AUUGAACGCUGGCGGCAUGCCUUACACAUGCAAGUCGAACGGGGUUGAGGAGCUUGCUCUUCAAUCUAGUGGCGAACGGGUGAGUAAAGCAUCGGAACGUACCCGGGAGUGGGGGAUAACGUAGCGAAAGUUACGCUAAUACCGCAUAUUCUGGGAGCAGGAAAGCAGGGGACCGCAAGGCCUUGUGCUUCCGGAGCGGCCGAUGUCGGAUUAGCUAGUUGGUGAGGUAAAGGCUCACCAAGGCGACGAUCCGUAGCUGGUCUGAGAGGAUGAUCAGCCACACUGGGACUGAGACACGGCCCAGACUCCUACGGGAGGCAGCAGUGGGGAAUUUUGGACAAUGGGGGCAACCCUGAUCCAGCCAUGCCGCGUGAGUGAAGAAGGCCUUCGGGUUGUAAAGCUCUUUCGCGAGGGAAGAAAACGCACUCUCUAAUACAGGGUGUGGAUGACGGUACCUUGAUAAGAAGCACCGGCUAACUACGUGCCAGCCGCCGCAGUAA
This 500-nucleotide ribosomal RNA is filed under the name uncultured bacterium. Its description in RNAcentral is "partial 16S ribosomal RNA". It matches the Rfam family "Bacterial small subunit ribosomal RNA", at positions 30 to 523 of the family's 1533-position model. The record is from RNAcentral.